RNAcentral lists this long non-coding RNA (1796 nucleotides) under Theobroma cacao (cacao). Its description in RNAcentral is "long non-coding RNA (TCAC_LNC004257)". Lineage: Eukaryota; Viridiplantae; Streptophyta; Magnoliopsida; Malvales; Malvaceae. The record is from RNAcentral.
AACUGACCAAGAAGGUGUAGGGCUACGAACCCUUACUUUCUAGGAUACAACUCCGAGAUUAAUUCUCGUCUUAAUCAACUAUCAACAAACUGUCCUGAGCUUGAAAAAUGGAUAGGAAGAGGGGUGAGAUUAUGAUUACAUAAUCCCAGUGAGUAAACAGACACUAUCUAAACUAUCUAAAGGCGAGUAAAGGGAGACAAUUAAAAAUAGUUCAUUUCAGCAAAUUUUUCACAACACGAAUAUUCAUUUCAACCAAAUAAUCAAUAUGGCUCGUGAAUUUCUCAAAACUUGGCUCCUGCCAAAAUCAUUCUCGCGGGUACCUUCGUCAAGGUAUCCCAUUGAGACCACCAAGGCUGUUAAAUGUCCUAUACUCAUAAACAUGUUUUCGCAUCUGACACACAGCUGUUCCUUGGCGUUGGCUGAGUCUCACUCUCACGCAGUGGUUAACGUGAAGUGCACUCAAAAAGCCCACCUCAAGAGAUACCCUACGCGCCUCUACGACCGAGGUGAGAAUAUAAAAGAGUUUACCGUGCCUCUCUAAUAGACUGAUCCACGGAACCCCCCACCACUACAGUAACUAAUCUUUAAUUCACCAAUUGAUCAAAUCUCAAUGGCAUAGCAUGGCAAUUACAUUACUAACCAAUUUAUCAAGGCAAAAUAGACAGUUCAUAUUUUUCAACACAAGUAUAAAUUCAGCCAAUCAUGCCAAUUUAUCACAAGCCAUUUAAUUCAAAUCAUAAUUUUACAACACAAGUAGGCAACCUCCAAUUACUCUAUUUUCAAAACCAGUAUUCGAUUUUCUAGAAAAUUUAUAAAAUCAUUUUAUAAAAUCACAAUUUCUCCUAAAACAUAGCAAUUUACCAUUUAAACUCAUUUUUCAUAAAAUCACACAAUUGUAUAAAACUACUCUAGAUAAUUAAGACGAUAAUAAGUUCACUCACAGUAUUAGGAGUAGAAAUACUCAUAUUUUCAGUCCGCGGGUGCAAUCCUUUACUCGUAUCCAAUGGCUCACCACCUAGCCAUAAUCCAUGACACAUACUCCAAUUAAAUUGUGUCUAACAGUCAUAAGCUAUUUCAGGCUCGAUAUAUAUGCAUGAUAUGAAAUGAAAAAUGCACGGGUAGCCAUCUAGACUCAGUAUUGGCCUAAGUCGAUUUUUCAUCCGAUAAAUUGGCCAAUGCGUCCAAUUUCACUCCAACUUGCUCCAUUUCUUUUCCAAUCCCUCAAUUCACCAAGCACAACUAAUUAACACACAAUUAGGCAAAAUUUAUCUUCACUUUUCUUCUUGAAACUUUCGGCCAACAAUGGUACACUAACUUCGUGAUUUUUCCUACUUAACUUUCUCUCCAUAAUUCAUUAAUUCCUACACCAAAAAACUAUUAUUUCUUAAUCAAAUCACCUAAAAUAACAUCCCAUUCUUCCUCAUUAUUCACUUAGAGAAUUCGGCUAUUGAUGGGUUCCAAACCUUUGGUGGUUUUCUUCACUUGUUUUCAUACUACACAUCAUUAAUCACCUCAAAACACUAACAUACCUAAAAAUCAAACCAAUCCAAGAUCAUUCUCUCUCCAUACCCAUUUUGACCAGCCAUGAAUUUAUCAUGAAUACAUGUAAUUUAACCAUGGAAAUUAAGGAAAAAUGCACGGGUAAGGUAAAUCACUAGCAAAAUCAAAGAAAUUUUACCUUUACUUGAUCAAAUCUUUGAAUUCCAACACUUUCUCUUUAAUUUUUCCCACCUAGGGUUUGUUCUUCCUUGGUUUCUCUUCUCUUCUGGUUUGGCUGAUCACUAUGGGAGAAAUGG